RNAcentral lists this ribosomal RNA (293 nucleotides) under uncultured bacterium. Its description in RNAcentral is "partial 16S ribosomal RNA". It matches the Rfam family "Bacterial small subunit ribosomal RNA", at positions 65 to 354 of the family's 1533-position model. The record is from RNAcentral.
CGGGGGACGCGCUUGCGCGUCCCGCCGGCGACCGGCGCACGGGUGAGUAACACGUAUGCAACCUGCCCCCGCCAGGGGUACAACCCUCCGAAAGGGGGGCUGAUACCGCGUACAUCCCCUGGGGGCAUCCCCGGGGGAGGAAAGCCCUUUUGGGCGGGCGGGGAUGGGCAUGCGGCGCAUUAGGAAGACGGCGGUGUGACGGACCACCGUUCCGACGAUGCGUAGGGGUUCUGAGAGGAAGGCCCCCCACACUGGUACUGAGACACGGACCAGACUCCUACGGAAGGCAGCAG